Molecule: long non-coding RNA, 1668 nt
Organism: Rosa rugosa (rugosa rose)
Lineage: Eukaryota; Viridiplantae; Streptophyta; Magnoliopsida; Rosales; Rosaceae
Exons: 4
Source: RefSeq, a predicted model, not a curated record
AUUUGACAUUGUCAACAUUUUAAUUUGAGUUUUCUUGUAUUUACUUAUUUUACUUUUAUUUUCCCCAUCAUUUUGGGUUUUUACCACCUUAUUCUUUUACCCCAAAUUUAUCUGCCCAAAGCUGAGCCUUCUCCUUCACACGCAAAACUCAGCUUUUCCUCUUUCCUUGUUCACGUCAGAGUUGGACAGAGAGAAAGGGAGCCUCGUUCAGCUCUUCCCCUCCACGUUUCCAUCAUGCAAAGGGCAACUCCUCCAAGAACAUCUCCUCAGACCUUCAAAAGAGAGAACCCAGGCCAUAAAUCGUCACUCACCCUUCUCUCCUCACCUUUCCUCUCGUCCCUGGACACAUCAGUCCGUUUACGAGCCUCGAAACACCUAGUUCGAGAUCUCCGAUCAGAAAACGUUCUUCAUCAAAGUUGUUCGCCUAUGUCUCCUCUAUCUAGCCUCCAAAUUUCAGCUCCAUCGGAAUUGAUUUGAGACCUGUACACCCCUCGAAGCGGAAGCUGUUCCGGAGCAAGCCUGUUCCGGAUUUCUGCUUAAACUUCCUCUCUUGCUCUACCCGAAUCCCCAACACCUUGCUUGAGACUGAUACCAACAGUUGUCUCUGUUUCACUUUGCAUGUUCGAGACUGAGCAAACUUCUUGGCCUGUGGCUGGACUCGAUCCAAUCAGCUCCUUCAGCUCUCUUUCCUGUUGAAAUCCUCAAGAGAAGCUCAUCUUUUUUUUGUUAGUUUUUGGCUUGACAUCGUGGUGGAAUCUUGUGAAGUGGUGGUUGCUACAAGGUUGCAUUGAGGCCAAGUGCUGCAAGAGAAAGCUCGAGUUCCAGGAGAGGUCAGUUCCUCCUUGAGCCACCGGUGGUGGGCAGUGUGCACCAUGCCCUUGUUAUCUCCCCUUUGUCUCUAGCCUUGUGAUUAAUGAAUUCCGGAAAGUGAUUGGCUAGAUGGACGGUUGUGAUGGAAGUGUGAAAGAUGAUCAAUUGCCGUGGGAUUGUAAUUACGUGGUGACGAUCACGUGGAAGCGCAAACCGGUUUUUAUCUAUUACUUUUUCUCAAAACGAUAAAUCAUAUUUUUAAACUUAGAUAUGGGGGCGGGCAUGGGCAAUGACUGGAUGUAGGAGCCUAACCCCUACUUUAGUUUGUUUUGCAGGCUGUUGUUGUCGAAGCUUGGGUACGGAGGAUAAUCCUUGGAGGACACAAUUUGUUUUACUCUAUUUAAAGUUUAUUUCCUUUCGGCUUGCUUGAUUUCACUAAAGUUUUGUAACAUUAUGUAUGGUUGAUGAUGUGUGUGAUUGCUUACCACCAAAGUGGAACCCUAGGGUUAGAACCUCCAUUUGAGUUAGGUCCUAGUGGGCUAGACCUAGAAGACUCACGUAAAUUACCAUCUAAUGAACUUAAUGCAAACUUGGACUAAGAACUAAAAAUUGACAUAGGUUCUAAAACUCAACACAACACCACCUUCCUUUCCUCUUAUUCGCCUAGUUCGUAAUCUUGUGAUUACGAGCCAAGCCCACUAUACAAGCCCAAGAAUUUCGGGCUUAUAGAUUUCUUGUUUUCCAACCUAAAGGCCUUGUCUCUUUGAGGAAUUCUAGGCCCAAAACACUUACUCCAAGUGUUGCGGGUGUAGGGUUCCUUGGGGAGGCGGCGCUGUGGUAAUCCGGUCUCCGGGUCGC